UACUUGUACUUAGCGGCAAAUGGGUGAGUAACACGUACCUAACCUACCUCAUGGUUUGGGAUAACUGAAGGAAACUUCGGCUAAUACCAAAUAUGUUAAGAGUUCGCAUGAACUUUUAACCAAAGAAGCGUUUGCUUCGCCAAGAGAUGGGGGUGCGCUACAUUAGGUAGUUGGUAGGGUAAAGGCCUACCAAGCCGAUGAUGUAUAGCGGGGUUGAGAAGCUGAUCCGCCACACUAGGACUGAGAUACGGCCUAGACUUCUACGGAAGGCAGCAGCAGGGAAUCUUCCACAAUGAGCGAAAGCUUGAUGGAGCGACACAGCGUGCAGGAUGAAGGCCUUAGGGUUGUAAACUGCUGUUAUGAGGGAAGAAAAGUUAAGGGAGGAAAUGCCUUUAAUUUGACGGUACCUGAUGAGAAAGCACCGGCAAACUAUGUGCCAGCAGUCGCGGUAAUACAUAGGGUGCAAGCGUUAUCCGGAUUUAUUGGGCGUAAAGCGUUCGUAGGUGGUAUGCUAAGUCUGGAGUUAAAGCCUAGAGCUCAACUCUAGCUCGCUUUAGAUACUAGCAUACUAGCAUCAUGAAGAGGUUAGUGACUCCAUGGAAGCGGUGAUGCUAGAAUAUAGGAAACGUAGAACGGUAAGGAACUGAGGGAGAAGCGUGGGGAUCAAAUAGGAUUAGAUACCCUAGUAGUCACGCCGUAAACGAUGCUAGUUAGCUGGUGGCCGAGUCACUAGCGCAGUUAACACGUUAAACUAGCCGCCUGAGUAGUAUGCUCGCAAGAGUGAAACUUAAAGGAAUUGACGGGGACCCGCACAAGCGGUGGAGCAUGUGGUUUAAUUCGAAGCUACGCGAAGAACCUUACCCACUCUUGACAUCCUUGGCAAAGCUAUAGAGAUAUAGUCGAGGUUAACCAAGAGACAGGUGGUGCAUGGCUGUCGUCAGCUCGUGUCGUGAGAUGUUAGGUUAAGUCCUGUAACGAGCGCAACCCUCAUCCUUAGUUACUAACAUUUAGUUGAGAACUCUAGGGAGACCGCCGGGGUAACCCGGAGGAAGGCGAGGAUGACGUCAGGUCAUCAUGCCUCUUACGAGUGGGGCGACACACGUGCUACAAUGGCAAGUACAAAGAGAAGCAAUACGGCGACGUGGAGCAAAUCUGCAAAACUUGUCUCAGUUCGGAUUGAAGUCUGCAACUCGACUUCAUGAAGUCGGAAUCGCUAGUAAUCGUAGGUCAGACAUACUACGGUGAAUGCGUUCUCGGGUCUUGUACACACCGCCCGUCACACCAUGGGAGUUGGUAAUACCCAAAGUCGGUAGAUUAACCUUUUGGAGAUCGCCGCCUA
Molecule: ribosomal RNA, 1339 nt
Filed under: uncultured bacterium
Lineage: Bacteria
Description: bacterial SSU rRNA
Rfam family: Bacterial small subunit ribosomal RNA
Source: RNAcentral